RNAcentral lists this non-coding RNA (30 nucleotides) under Rattus norvegicus (Norway rat). Lineage: Eukaryota; Metazoa; Chordata; Mammalia; Rodentia; Muridae. The record is from RNAcentral.
UGGGCAACCUAUUGUAUUCAGGAGAUCAAC